GCAGCCGCCACGGUAAUACGGAGGGUGCAAGCGUUAAUCGGAAUUACUGGGCGUAAAGCGCACGCAGGCGGUCUGACAAGUCAGAUGUGAAAUCCCCGGGCUUAACCUGGGAACUGCAUUUGAAACUGUCAGGCUGGAGUCUUGUAGAGGGGGGUGGAAUUCCAGGUGUAGCGGUGAAAUGCGUAGAGAUCUGGAGGAAUACCGGUGGCGAAGGCGGCCCCCUGGACAAAGACUGACGCUCAGGUGCGAAAGCGUGGGGAGCAAACAGGAUUAGAUACCCGGGUAGUCCUGUCUCUUAUACA
RNAcentral lists this ribosomal RNA (302 nucleotides) under uncultured bacterium. Its description in RNAcentral is "partial 16S ribosomal RNA". It matches the Rfam family "Bacterial small subunit ribosomal RNA", at positions 508 to 809 of the family's 1533-position model. The record is from RNAcentral.